Molecule: long non-coding RNA, 1165 nt
Organism: Nicotiana tabacum (common tobacco)
Lineage: Eukaryota; Viridiplantae; Streptophyta; Magnoliopsida; Solanales; Solanaceae
Source: RefSeq, a predicted model, not a curated record
GCCCUCCGCCAUUUUCCUAACCCUAGCGUCGCCCAAGACCCCUCCUCUAGCAGAGAGAACAGAUGGACACCUCUCCUUCUAGACCAAACCUAGCCGCCACCCCCCACUCUCUCGUCCUCACCUCCUACACUCACCUCAUCUCACUCACACACAGUUAGAAGCGCAGAUUAGUAGCUAGGAAUUCUGGAAAUACAAAUUUCCCGGAUCUGAAACAAAUACUCCAAAAAUAAAAGCAAAAAAUUAAAACAAAGAGAUUUCAAAAGCUGUUUCCUCCUCUAUUUGUUGCGGCACAUUUUCUGUGAUUUGAAAGAUUGUUUUGAGCUUGGAAGUGCUAAUCACUGCUGACUGUUGCUAGAUCAGCCUUGCUGAGCUUCAUCCUUACGGAUUCUAGCCUUUAUUUGGCUUUUCAAAAUCUGUCUCCAUUAUGCCGAUAGAUUUGUCUACAUGUGAGUGUUCUGUUAUAAUCUAAUUCUAAACUGACUGUUUGAAGCUGAAACUCUAAGGUGAAAUCGUCCAAAUGCUUUAAUGCCAUGUCACAGAUUCAGCUUGUAUACAUACUUACUGCCGUCCAUGCACUGAUUUAAUUUUUGAUGAGUUUGAAUUCCAGUUCAUACCAUUUCUGAUAUUGAAAUUAAUUGAGAUUAUAGCAUAACCAUUAGAGAAUUAAUUGAUCCAAUGAAACUCUGGAGUUAACUCAAGUGUUUGAUUUUAUAGUCGGGAUCUCGUUCUGUUUCACAUGGCACGUCUUAUUGAUUCAAUGAUAACAGUCUUCUAUUGGUGGUUGCAAAUUAAGAAAUCAGUGUAGAAGGUCAGGAAGAUUGGUGGGUCAUCACUGUUUAGGUAGUUAGUCUCAUUAGUUAGAGACUCGUGGUCAAUUUUAGAUAAUAUCUAUAGACAUACAUGUAAUUCAUUCCACAUUUGGUUGUAUAUUUGUUAAUUUUGAUUUGAUGCAAUUGGUUAUUGAUUUGAGAGUGUUUGAACACAAACAAGUUCAGAUUUGAGAGGCUCAGCACAUCUAAAAUUUGUGAGCUGCACUUGGUCUACUUGAGAUCUCAUGUGCUUCCUUAGACAAACACAACCCAUAAUUGUAUUAGCUUCCCCUAACCAACAUUAAUUUGGAAAGAAACAUUCAAUCACAUUUGACAAAUCUUUACUGUUUGUUCAA